GGCAGGAAAGAGUCAGUGGUAGGCUCAUCAGGCUCAUAAUCUGAGAUUUGUAGGUUCAACUCCUGCUCCUGCUC
Molecule: transfer RNA, 74 nt
Filed under: Candelaria pacifica
Lineage: Eukaryota; Fungi; Ascomycota; Candelariomycetes; Candelariales; Candelariaceae
Also listed under: 1 other name
Description: tRNA-Met
Rfam family: tRNA
About the family: Transfer RNA (tRNA) molecules are approximately 80 nucleotides in length. Their secondary structure includes four short double-helical elements and three loops (D, anti-codon, and T loops).
Source: RNAcentral